AUUGAACGAUGGCGGCAGGCCUAACACAUGCAAGUCGAGCGGAGCGGCGGACGGGUGAGUAAUGCCUAGGAAUCUGCCUGGUAGUGGGGGAUAACGUCCGGAAACGGGCGCUAAUACCGCAUACUAUCAGAUGAGCCUAUGUCGGCUUAGCUAGUUGGUGGGGUAAAGGCCUGCCAAGGCGACGAUCCGUAACUGGUCUGAGAGGAUGAUCAGUCACACUGUAACUGAGACAUGGUCCAGAGUCCUACGGUAGCCGGCCGUGGGGAAGAUUGGACCAGGGGCUAAAUCCUGAUCCAGCCAUGCCGCGUGUGUGAAGAAGGUCUUCGGAUUGUAAAGCACUUUAAGUUGGGAGGCGUUACCAACAGAAUAAGCACCGGCUAACUUCGUGCCAGCCGCCGCGGUAAUUC
Molecule: ribosomal RNA, 407 nt
Filed under: uncultured bacterium
Lineage: Bacteria
Description: partial 16S ribosomal RNA
Rfam family: Bacterial small subunit ribosomal RNA
Source: RNAcentral